GAUGAACGCUAGCGGCAGGCUUAAUACAUGCAAGUCGAGGGGCAGCGGGGAUAGCAAUAUCUGCCGGCGACCGGCAAACGGGUGCGGAACACGUACGCAACCUUCCCGAAACAGGUGAAUAGCCCUCCGAAAGGAGGAUUAAUACACCGUGAGAUAUAGAGAUGGCAUCAUUUUUAUAUUAUAGGUAGCAAUACCGGUUUUGGAUGGGCGUGCGCCUGAUUAGGUAGUUGGCGGGGUAACGGCCCACCAAGCCUCCGAUCAGUAACUGGUGUGAGAGCACGACCAGUCACACGGGCACUGAGACACGGGCCCGACUCCUACGGGAGGCAGCAGUAAGGAAUAUUGGUCAAUGGACGGAAGUCUGAAACCAGCCAUGCCGCGUGAAGGAUGAAAGGCCCUCUGGGUUGUAAAACUUCUUUUAUCUGGGACGAAAAAGGGAUUCUUUCUCACUUGACGGUACCAGAGGAAUAAGCACCGGCUAAACUCCGUGCCAGCAGCCGCAGUAAC
This 507-nucleotide ribosomal RNA is filed under the name uncultured bacterium. Its description in RNAcentral is "bacterial SSU rRNA". It matches the Rfam family "Bacterial small subunit ribosomal RNA", at positions 28 to 524 of the family's 1533-position model. The record is from RNAcentral.